GUCUAUGGCCAUAUCACCCUGAAUGUGCCCGAUCUCGUCUGAUCUUGGAAGCUAAGCAGGGUCGGGCCUGGUUAGUACUUGGAUGGGAGACCAGGUGCUGUAGGCG
Molecule: ribosomal RNA, 106 nt
Filed under: Pteropus alecto (black flying fox)
Lineage: Eukaryota; Metazoa; Chordata; Mammalia; Chiroptera; Pteropodidae
Source: RNAcentral